AACGAACGCUGGCGGCAUGCCUAACACAUGCAAGUCGAACGAGACCUUCGGGUCUAGUGGCGCACGGGUGCGUAACGCGUGGGAACCUGCCCUUAGGUUCGGAAUAACUCCCCGAAAGGGGUGCUAAUACCGGAUAAUGUCUUCGGACCAAAGAUUUAUCGCCUUUGGAUGGGCCCGCGUUGGAUUAGCGAGUUGGUAGGGUACAAGCCUACCAAGGCGACGAUCCAUAGCUGGUCUGAGAGGAUGAUCAGCCACACUGGGACUGAGACACGGCCCAGACUGCUACGGGAGGCAGCAGUGGGGAAUAUUGGACAAUGGGCGAAAGCCUGAUCCAGCAAUGCGGCGUGAGUGAUGAAGGCCUUAGGGUUGUAAAGCUCUUUUAGCCGGGAUGAUAAUGACAGUACCGGGAGAAUAAGCUCCGGCUAACUCCGUG
This 433-nucleotide ribosomal RNA is filed under the name uncultured bacterium. RNAcentral's name for it is "partial 16S ribosomal RNA". It matches the Rfam family "Bacterial small subunit ribosomal RNA", at positions 29 to 507 of the family's 1533-position model. The record is from RNAcentral.